Molecule: ribosomal RNA, 317 nt
Filed under: uncultured bacterium
Lineage: Bacteria
Description: bacterial SSU rRNA
Rfam family: Bacterial small subunit ribosomal RNA
Source: RNAcentral
UCCGAAUCUACCCUAUGGCGGGGGAUAACACCCGGAAACUUGUGCUAAUACCGCAUAAUGUCGAGAGACCCAAUCCGGGGACCGCAUUGCCUUGCACGAUAGGAUGAGCCGACCCCCCAUUAGCUCGUUGGUAGGGUAAAGGCCUACAUGGCCACCAUCGGUAGCUGGCCUGAGAGGAUGAUCAGCCCCACUGGGACUGAGACUCCGUCCCGACUCCUACUGGAGGCCCCAGUGGGGAAUAUUGUACAAUGGGCGCCAGCCUGAUCCAGCAAUGCCGCGUGUGUGAAUAAUGCCUGCGGGUUGUAAAGCACUUUUGU